CCUACGGUGCGCAGCAGUGGGGAAUAUUGGACAAUGGGCGAAAGCCUGAUCCAGCCAUGCCGCGUGUGUGAAGAAGGCCUUCGGGUUGUAAAGCACUUUCAGUGGGGAAGAAAGCCUUGGGGCUAAUACCCUCGAGGAAGGACAUCACCCACAGAAGAAGCACCGGCUAACUCCGUGCCAGCAACCGCGGUAAUACGGAGGGUGCGAGCGUUAAUCGGAAUUACUGGGCGUAAAGCGCGCGUAGGCGGUCUGAUAAGCCGGUUGUGAAAGCCCCGGGCUCAACCUGGGAACGGCAUCCGGAACUGUCAGGCUAGAGUGCAGGAGAGGAAGGUAGAAUUCCCGGUGUAGCGGUGAAAUGCGUAGAGAUCGGGAGGAAUACCAGUGGCGAAGGCGGCCUUCUGGACUGACACUGACGCUGAGGUGCGAAAGCGUGGGUAGCAAACAGGAUUAGAUACCCCAGUAGUC
Molecule: ribosomal RNA, 465 nt
Filed under: Vreelandella stevensii
Lineage: Bacteria; Pseudomonadati; Pseudomonadota; Gammaproteobacteria; Oceanospirillales; Halomonadaceae
Description: partial 16S ribosomal RNA
Rfam family: Bacterial small subunit ribosomal RNA
Source: RNAcentral